GGGAAUUUUGGACAAUGGGCGAAAGCCUGAUCCAGCAAUGCCGCGUGCAGGAUGAAGGCCUUCGGGUUGUAAACUGCUUUUGUACGGAACGAAAAAGCUUCUCCCAAUACGAGAGGCCCAUGACGGUACCGUAAGAAUAAGCACCGGCUAACUACGUGCCAGCAGCCGCGGUAAUACGUAGGGUGCGAGCGUUAAUCGGAAUUACUGGGCGUAAAGCGUGCGCAGGCGGUUAUGUAAGACAGAUGUGAAAUCCCCGGGCUCAACCUGGGAACUGCAUUUGUGACUGCAUGGCUAGAGUACGGUAGAGGGGGAUGGAAUUCCGCGUGUAGCAGUGAAAUGCGUAGAUAUGCGGAGGAACACCGAUGGCGAAGGCAAUCCCCUGGACCUGUACUGACGCUCAUGCACGAAAGCGUGGGGAGCAAACAGG
Molecule: ribosomal RNA, 427 nt
Filed under: uncultured bacterium
Lineage: Bacteria
Description: bacterial SSU rRNA
Rfam family: Bacterial small subunit ribosomal RNA
Source: RNAcentral